UCUGGCUCUGCUGACACCGAUUCUACAGCUUAUGCUUCACUCCUCUGUGUACCAUAACUUCCUGGCAGUCAAGGUCACUAGGUGAAGAUGCGAUCACUGUUAACAGACACCCUAGCUACAGGUGACGUCUGCAAUGACGCAAGCACGCUAAGGUUGGCAACGGUAGGUGAUUGGCGGCUUCCGGUGGUGGAACCUGACAACGUGCAGCGUCUCAUUCAGGAUGACGUAAUGGGAGCGCCGGGUAAACACCGCUAGAGGCCGUAUGGACACGAGGAACAUCAUUGCCCUACUGGGAGCAAGCUGUACCCAUCUACACUGUGCGCACAGUUAUUAGGCAAGGAGAAUCUCAAAGCACAUUCACGCAACCAACUUACCUACACAGUGCAGCAAACUCUUCUGAUCCGCGAUCAAUAGAACGGGUCUACUACAUACAGAACUGACAUGCAGAGAGUGACUUAAUCGAUGACGUUGCGCUAUCUUGCGCAAGCGCAACAAGGAUAACGGUCGCGAUCUUCCAACCGCGGUUGUCAGCCCGGAAUGAACAACAAUAAGAUUGUAAAAUGGAGUGGGUUUGGAAAUUGUUAAAAACUUCUAAGCCAAGCAUCUUUAAAAACGGCAAGUAAUUGAAACAGAUAGGGCAUUGUAAUUAGGUUGAUUUUUGUGGUUUCUUUUCAGCGGUGAUACUUUUUUUGUGCCUUCAGUGUCCCUUUAAAUAAAAAGAUAGAAGUGCUCCACAGUAGCUUGUUCUAUGGCUAGUUAGUUACCACACAAGAAGCAGCAGCCUCUUUUUGCUCAACAUGUGCCUUUCACAGGGAAGAACUUUCCUGUAGCAUAUCAGUCUGAUUGUGACUCAACAGUGCAGUCCAGACCCGAAAUACUAGGCAGUCCCUCUAUGAACGAGAAAAAUGGCAAAACCCCAGAUGUACGUUUCGGCCUAUUGUGGGCCUCAUCAGUGAGGUGCAGCCAUAUCCCUCUAGGGACACUGAGCAACGGGUCCACGUCUGGCUUCCCGCAUCACCCUUAGGGAGACUUCCUAAGAGUCAUAAUUUGCAUGAAUUAAAAGAUAGAAGCGCUCAACCUAGGAACCAACAAUAGCAUAAUAUCUUGUUCUAUGGCUAGUUACCACCCAAGAAGCAGUCUCUUUUUGCUCAACAUGUGCCUUUCACAGAGAAGAACUUCCCUGUAGCUUGGGUACUAGCUAUAGAACAAGCUAUUAUGCUAUUGUUCGUUCCCAGGUUGAAUGCUUUUCUCUUAAUUUAUGCAAAUUAUGACCCUGACAGAAGUCUCCCCAAGGAUGAUAAAGUAAAUUUAAAACUGUCACACUUAGAUACUCUGUAUAAUGUAAGUUUAAUUUUAAAUUUUCCUAUUCCUUUAAUGGAAGAAUGGCAAUGCUGAAAUCCAAGACAAAACUGUUGAGAUUGUGUUUAUAAGCUACAGUGGUUUGUAACCUGUACAUACAUAUAUAAAAGUUUUUUGCACUGCAUGAUUAAAUAUUUCACUUGUAUUUGCAUAAUUUAAGAAAAUAUGCAAUAACAUUCAGAAACAAACACACUCCUCAUCUACAUUCAGACCAUUUUUAAAAACGUAUCAGCCUGCUAUUCGCAAAAAAAUAAAAAGCAGUAGUUUUUACAUAAAGAUUGUUACAAGGUAUAAUAAUUACCAAUGUUUCAGUGCACCAUUAACCAGAACAUUUGUUCCCUAAAGGAUUCCAAUACAAUAAUAAAUGCAUCUGAACUGAA
Molecule: long non-coding RNA, 1739 nt
Organism: Bombina bombina (fire-bellied toad)
Lineage: Eukaryota; Metazoa; Chordata; Amphibia; Anura; Bombinatoridae
Exons: 4
Source: RefSeq, a predicted model, not a curated record